UUUAGAUAAAGGCAAACUUGUCGAAAGAUAAGGACGCAAAGCCAAGGGCCUAAGGCAUAAACUUGCUAAGGUAGCCGGUUACCUAA
This 86-nucleotide non-coding RNA is filed under the name Caldisalinibacter kiritimatiensis. Its description in RNAcentral is "c-di-GMP sequence". It matches the Rfam family "c-di-GMP-I riboswitch aptamer". Rfam says of the family: GEMM was predicted in a large-scale screen for bacterial structured RNA regulatory elements. Lineage: Bacteria; Bacillati; Bacillota; Tissierellia; Tissierellales; Thermohalobacteraceae. The record is from Rfam by way of RNAcentral.